RNAcentral lists this ribosomal RNA (253 nucleotides) under uncultured prokaryote. RNAcentral describes it as "partial 16S ribosomal RNA". It matches the Rfam family "Bacterial small subunit ribosomal RNA", at positions 525 to 777 of the family's 1533-position model. The record is from RNAcentral.
ACAGAGGGGGCAAGCGUUGUUCGGAAUUACUGGGCGUAAAGGGCGCGUAGGCGGCCUGUUAAGUCGAACGUGAAGUCCCCGGGCUCAACCCGGGAACUGCGUCCGAUACUGGCAGGCUUGAAUUCGGGAGAGGGAUGUGGAAUUCCAGGUGUAGCGGUGAAAUGCGUAGAUAUCUGGAGGAACACCGGUGGCGAAGGCGACGUCCUGGACCGGCAUUGACGCUGAGGCGCGAAAGCCAGGGGAGCAAACGGGA